GGCGUGCCUACACAUGCAAGUCGUACGAGAAAGUUGGCUUCGGCCGAUGAGUAAAGUGGCGCACGGGUGAGUAACGCGUGGAUAAUCUACCUCUCAGUUGGGAAUAACUCAUCGAAAGGUGGGCUAAUACCGAAUAAUGCUGCAUGACUUCUGUUGUGUAGUCAAAGAUGGCCUCUGCUUGCAUGCUAUUGCUGAAGGAUGAGUCCGCGUACCAUUAGCUAGUUGGUAGGGUAAUGGCCUACCAAGGCAACGAUGGUUAGCUGGUCUGAGAGGAUGAUCAGCCACACUGGAACUGAGACACGGUCCAGACUCCUACGGGAGGCAGCAGUGAGGAAUAUUGCGCAAUGGGGGAAACCCUGACGCGGCAACGCCGCGUGAGUGAGGAAGGUUUUCGGACCGUAAAGCUCUGUCGAGCGGGAAGAAAUGCAUAAUGGCUAAUAUCCAUUAUGCUUGACGGUACCGCUAAAGGAAGCACCGGCUAACUCCGUGCCGGCAGCCGCGGUAAUACGGGGGGUGCUAGCGUUGUUCGGAAUCAUUGGGCGUAAAGAGCGUGUAGGCGGCUGGAUAAGUCAGAUGUGAAAGCCCUGGGCUUAACCUAGGAAGUGCAUUUGAAACUGUUCAGCUUGAGUAGGGGAGAGGAAAGUGGAAUUCCUGGUGUAGAGGUGAAAUUCGUAGAUAUCAGGAGGAACACCGGUGGCGAAGGCGACUUUCUGGCCCUAUACUGACGCUGAGACGCGAGAGCGUGGGUAGCAAACAGGAUUAGAUACCCUGGUAGUCCACGCUGUAAACGAUGUUCACUAGGUGUUGGGGGUAUUGACCCUCUCAGUGCCGCAGCUAACGCAUUAAGUGAACCGCCUGGGGAGUACGGUCGCAAGAUA
RNAcentral lists this ribosomal RNA (878 nucleotides) under uncultured bacterium. RNAcentral describes it as "bacterial SSU rRNA". It matches the Rfam family "Bacterial small subunit ribosomal RNA", at positions 41 to 895 of the family's 1533-position model. The record is from RNAcentral.